RNAcentral lists this long non-coding RNA (424 nucleotides) under Sorghum bicolor (sorghum). Its description in RNAcentral is "long non-coding RNA (SBIC_LNC014864)". The record is from RNAcentral. Lineage: Eukaryota; Viridiplantae; Streptophyta; Magnoliopsida; Poales; Poaceae.
UCCGUCGCGCCGGCGCCAUGGCUAGGCUCGCGCUGGCACUCCUGCUGCUGCUAGCCGUGGCGGCGUCUUCGGCGUCGGCCACGGGCGGGAGCCACCACCUGGACCUGGACCUGGGCUUCCUCUCCUCCUCCUCCGGGGCCCGCCGGAGGGAGUGCCGCGGCACGGUGGCCGAGUGCCUCGCCGCGGAGGAGUCUGAGGAGGAACGUCUGGACCUGGUCUCCUCUCCCGAGUCCCACCGCCGCGCGCUGUACGGCAACGGGUACAUCAGCUACGGCGCGCUGCGGCGGGACAACGUGCCCUGCUCCCGCCGCGGCGCCAGCUACUACAACUGCCGCCCCGGCGGCCAGGCCAACCCCUACCACCGCGGCUGCUCCCGCAUCACCCGCUGCCGCGGCUGAGGUGCUGCCCGGAUCCGCCGCCGGCA